This is an RNA transcript of Nymphaea colorata (pocket water lily), 3866 nucleotides long. It is a transcript of the gene named conserved oligomeric Golgi complex subunit 1, with no coding region annotated. Lineage: Eukaryota; Viridiplantae; Streptophyta; Magnoliopsida; Nymphaeales; Nymphaeaceae. The record is from RefSeq and is a predicted model, not a curated record. The transcript has 7 exons.
ACAACCGCUGGUUAUCCCGUCCGUCGGUUAAAGUGUCCGAGAAAGAGCGGGGAGAGACUGUUGGCCCCCUCUCUGAAAUGUAGAGAGGAAGGAGAUCUCUCUCUCUCUCCCUCUGGAAUUCCCUGGCCUCUCUCCUUCUGCACUAGGCAGCCAUGAGGGUUCCUUCUUCGAGGUACCUCGACGGAGAUGCGGAGUCGCUUUUCCGGUCGAGGCCGAUUUCUGAGAUCCGCUCGGUCGAGGCGUCGACGCGGAAGGAGAUCGACAACAAGCAGGAGGAACUGCGGCAGCUCGUCGGCCGGAGUUACCGCGAUCUCAUCCAAUCCGCGGAUUUCAUCCUCCUCAUGAAGGCCUCCUCCGAAUCCAUCUGUGCUAAUCUCUGCCGCAUUGACACCUCCAUUCGGUCGCUCUCCGCCGCCGACGGCGAUGAAGCUAACAAUUCCGCGGGCGGCGCCGGCCACGUCGGUUACAAGGAGCGGAGAAAGAAGCUCUACGGCGUUGGAUGUAGGAUAAAGUACCUGGUCGAUACGCCGGAGAACAUUUGGGGGUUUCUUGACGAGUCAAUGUUCUUGGACGCCGCUGGUAGGUACCUCAGGGCUAGAAAGGUUCAUAGUUUGCUCGUGGAGAGCCCUUCGGCGAAGGAGUUCCUCGGGAACUUUCCCCUUCUGCAGCACCAGUUUCAGUUGGUCGAGAGCUUCAAGGGGCAGAUCUCGCAGAGGAGCAGAGACAGAUUGCUAGAUCCGGUCGGCUGUAGCGGCAGCACCGCCGAGCUUUUCGCCGAUGCGCUGUCUGCCAUCUCUAUAGUUGAUGAGCUUGGCCCGGAUCAGAUGCUUGCUCUCUUUCUUGAAUCUCGCCGAUCGUGGGUCUCUCAGGCGAUGCGAAACUCGCAAGCCUUCGACGGGCACUCUUCUGCUGCCUUCGCAGCCGUAUCUAGGAGCUUCUGUGAGGUGGUGACCAUAAUUCAGAUUACCCUCGGCCAAGUGGGCGAGCUCUUCCUUCGCACCUCCAAUGACCUACCAUUGUUCUAUAAGAAAGUUUUGAGCGCCCCGCCGGGAUCGCAACUCUUCGGGGGGAUUCCGGAUCACGAGGAGGAAGCCAAGGCUUGGAAACAGCACUGGGAGAAGCUUGAGUCCGUGAUGUGCAUGCUUGAGCCGGAGUUCAUCUCGGAGAGUUGCUUAUCGUGGGUUAACUCGGUGUCCGAGCUCGUGAAUUCCGCCGUUCUGAGCGACGGGCGCCGGUUGGUGGAAGCUUUUGGAAGUGGGGGGCGUUUGGCAUCUGUUGAAAAGGACGUGAGAGCGAAAGUGGACGAGAAAGAAGCUCUGGGCGGUAGCUUGGAGUGGCUCAGAAGUUACUAUGGCUUGGUUAUUGAGUCUCCAUGGGAGGGCAUCUGCCGACUUGUUCUUGGGCAACCCAAGAAUCUGUGGGAUGAAUUGUUCGAGCAGACUUUUGUUCACAGAAUGAAGGAAAUAAUCAAUCUGGCCUUCGAGGAAAUGGUUAGGAGUGUUAAAAUCAAAGAUGCCCUCAAGGAAGGUGUCGAGUCUCACAGUUCCCUGAAAAAAUCCUCUUCAUAUGGCAGCUUUUGGUUCACUGACAGAAUCACAAGUACUAAGAAAGUGGGAUUGACUCCCAUGAAGGCGAUGGAUGACGAGAAUGACUUUCAUGCGUGCCUUGAUGCGUACUUUGGAUCACAAGUCAGUCGAAUUAGAGAUGCAGUGGACGAUAAAUGCAAGAGUAUUUUGGAAGACCUCUUGUGCUUCACCGGGGUGCAGAAACCGAGCCCCAGGUUGAAGGAGCUGGCACCUUUUAUUCAGGAAAGGUGCUUCAAUAGUCUAUCAAAAAUUGUCAAGGAACUGGAAGAGGAGCUGGGGCUUCUUUCCACUGCUUUGAACGAUAAACACGGCGACAAAGAACAAUUGUCUCUUAUUGUUGAGAAAUCUCUUCUGAUUGGGCGGCUCUUCUUUGCUUUGCGCAAUCAUUCAAGCUACAUUCCGUUGAUUCUUGGGUCCCCAACAGUGUGGACGACUCAAGGAAAAGCUAACAAUUUUGCUAAAGGAUCGUCGAAUGUAUGGCAGCCAAGGGGUAGUCUUGAUCAACCGAUACUCGAAAGCCCUAGAAUACAAAGCUUGUCAUCACCUCGUGUUGGUUUUCAUGCUUAUGGAUUGGAUGAGAAUGCAAAUCCGAAACUUCAAGAACUCAGCAAGACCUUGAGGGAUCUUUGUGUGAAGGCACAUAAACUGUGGAUAUCAUGGAUGUCCAAUCAGUUGGCUAUGGCUCUUGCCAAGGAUCUUUCAAUGGAUGAUGCGUUAUCCACCAGUACUGCCUUGAAGGGUUGGGAAGAAACUAUACUUAAACAAGAUCAGUCAAAAGAAUCUAGUGGUGAAUCUUUAGAGGAGAUGAAAAUAGCGCUUCCUUCCAUGCCUUCACUAUAUGUUACGUCUUUCCUGUUUGAAGCAUGCCAAGAGAUUCAUAGAGUUGGAGGCCAUGUACUUGACAAAGUUAUCUUGCAAACUUUUUCACAGACACUACUGGAAAAGGCAGUGACUACAUAUAGGAAUUUCUUAAAUACCGAGACCCGUACAGUUCAGGUGUCUGAAAAGGGAAUUCUUCAACUUAUAUUUGAUUUGCGGUUUAUCUCUGACGUGCUUUCUUGUCGAAGUGAACCAUUUUUGAGCAGCGAUGCUGAUAUUAAAGAGAAAGAACUGUUGAAACGGAUUCCUUUUCGAAGUAAGCACAGUUCAGUUCCACCUGUUUCUGCUAGUGUGAAUCCUACCCAAUCAUUGAUACAUGCAUUUUCUCAGAGGCUGGAUCCAAUAGAUUGGGCUACAUUCGAGUCCUACCUUUGGGAGAAUGAGAAGCAAUGGUACCAGCGCAAUGCAGUCUUGUUUGGGUUCUUAGUGCAACUCAAUCGUCUUUACACAAAUACUGUCCAAAAGCUGCCUGCGAAAGCUGAGUCUAAUAUUUUUAGAUCUGCAGUACUUCCACGGUUCAAGUACCUUCCCAUAAGUGCUCCUGUAUUAUCAUCAAGAGGUCCAUCCACGCCAACUCGUUCUGGUUCAUCUGAUGAAUUAUCCUCAAGAAGCUCUUGGAAGGCUUAUUCAAAUGGAGAGCAUUCCCCAAAACCUGAGUUUGAUGAUUCUUCCAGUUUCACUACUGCAACUCCACUAUUCAAGUCCUUUAUGACACAGGUUGGUAGCAAAUUUGGGGAGAGCACAUUUAGACUUGGCUCCAUGCUCACAGAUGGGCAAGUAGGCAGACUUAAGGACAAGUCAGCUGCGGCCAUGUCUACAUUUGGAGAUAUUUUACCUGUUCAGGCUGCUGGCCUUCUUUCUUCCUUCACGGCAGGAGCAACAAGAUCAGAUUCUUGAUUGUGCAGUCCACCUUAUGAUCCAAAUUGUGUUUUGAAUACGGAGAAUCCUGGACUUCACCUGAGUGUACAGCGGCUGGAUGUUGUUUCAAAGUUGUAUUUGGAUGAAAUCACCUUUUCAACAGGGAAAGAAGCCAAGACUGGAAGUACUUCGGCUGAGUUCUGUUGCAUGUCUUUUCAUCAGCAGCUUAUGGUGGUGUCGUUGUGUUCAUAGAAGUUGGCCCCACCCCACCUAGAUAAGGCAACAUAAGUCGAUCUUUUCUCAAAAUCUUCAGCUAUGAAGUCAAAUGACAUAAUCAUGCCCACAAAAUUCCUACCACGAUUUGUCUAUGACUUAGAAUUUGAGAAUUGAUGCAGCUCUGCUAUGUUUUGUCAUAUUUAAAUUUAACUCGGUUAUGACAAUUUGAAAUAUAUCAGCUGAUGUGUAUGACGUUUCUAAUGAAAUAACAUGUAAAAGUAGCUGUGUUGAUUGAUUUGGGAAAACCAACACUUGGGAUUAUGAUGC